This 469-nucleotide ribosomal RNA is filed under the name uncultured bacterium. RNAcentral describes it as "partial 16S ribosomal RNA". It matches the Rfam family "Bacterial small subunit ribosomal RNA", at positions 28 to 507 of the family's 1533-position model. The record is from RNAcentral.
GACGAACGCUGGCGGCGUGCUUAACACAUGCAAGUCGAACGGAAAGGCCCUGCUUGCAGGGUGCUCGAGUGGCGAACGGGUGAGUAACACGUGGGUGAUCUGCCCCUUACUUUGGGAUAAGCCUGGGAAACUGGGUCUAAUACUGGAUAGGACCAUGCUGUAGGUGGUGUGGUGGAAAGAUUAGUUUCGGUAAGGGAUGAGCUCGCGGCCUAUCAGCUUGUUGGUGGGGUAAUGGCCUACCAAGGCGUCGACGGGUAGCCGGCCUGAGAGGGUGGACGGCCACAUUGGGACUGAGAUACGGCCCAGACUCCUACGGGAGGCAGCAGUGGGGAAUAUUGCACAAUGGGCGCAAGCCUGAUGCAGCGACGCCGCGUGGGGGAUGACGGCCUUCGUGUUGUAAACUCCUUUCAGCCAUGACGAAGCCCUUGUGGUGACGGUAGUGGUAGAAGAAGCACCGGCUAACUACGUG